ACAGGGAUUGCCCCAGUAACGGCGAGUGAAGCGGCAACAGCUCAAAUUUGAAAUCUGGCGCAAGCCCGAGUUGUAAUUUGCAGAGGAUGCUUCAGGGCAGCGACCGGUCUAAGUUCCUUGGAACAGGACGUCGUAGAGGGUGAGAAUCCCGUAUGCGACCGGUUGGCACCCGUCACGUAGCUCCUUCGACGAGUCGAGUUGUUUGGGAAUGCAGCUCUAAAUGGGAGGUAAAUUUCUUCUAAAGCUAAAUACCGGCCAGAGACCGAUAGCGCACAAGUAGAGUGAUCGAAAGAUGAAAAGCACUUUGGAAAGAGAGUUAAAAAGCACGUGAAAUUGUUGAAAGGGAAGCGCAUGCAACCAGACUUGUCGGCGGUGUUCCGCCGGUCUUCUGACCGUCCCACUCGCCGCCGGCAGGCCAGCAUCAUCUGGGCGCGCCGGACAAAGGCGCGGGGAAUGUAGCUCCUCGGAGUGUUAUAGCCCCGCGCACAAUACGGCGCCGCUCGGGUGAGGUCCGCGCUUCGGCUAGGAUGCUGGCGUAAUGGUUGUCUGCGGCCCGUCUUGAAACACGGACCAAGGAGUCUAACAUCUAUGCGAGUGUUCGGGUGUCAAACCCCUACGCGGAAUGAAAGUGAACGGAGGUGGGAAGCGCAAGCUGCACCACCAACCGAUCCUGAUGUCUUCGGAUGGAUUUGAGUAAGAGCAUAGCUGUUGGGACCCGAAAGAUGGUGAACUAUGCCUGAAUAGGGUGAAGCCAGAGGAAACUCUGGUGGAGGCUCGCAGCGGUUCUGACGUGCAAAUCGAUCGUCAAAUUUGGGUAUAGGGGCGAAAGACUAAUCGAA
RNAcentral lists this ribosomal RNA (839 nucleotides) under Teratosphaeria nubilosa. RNAcentral's name for it is "eukaryotic LSU rRNA". It matches the Rfam family "Eukaryotic large subunit ribosomal RNA", at positions 68 to 939 of the family's 3401-position model. The record is from RNAcentral. Lineage: Eukaryota; Fungi; Ascomycota; Dothideomycetes; Mycosphaerellales; Teratosphaeriaceae.